AUUGAACGCUGGCGGCGCGCCUAACACAUGCAAGUCGAACGAGCGAGAGAGAGCUUGCUUUCUCAAGCGAGUGGCGAACGGGUGAGUAACGCGUGAGGAACCUGCCUCAAAGAGGGGGACAACAGUUGGAAACGACUGCUAAUACCGCAUAAGCCCAACGACCCGGCAUCGGGUAGAGGGAAAAGGAGCAAUCCGCUUUGAGAUGGCCUCGCGUCCGAUUAGCUAGUUGGUGAGGUAAUGGGCCCACCAAGGCGACGAUCGGUAGCCGGACUGAGAGGUUGAACGGCCACAUUGGGACUGAGACACGGCCCAGACUCCUACGGGAGGCAGCAGUGGGGAAUAUUGCACAAUGGAGGAAACUCUGAUGCAGCGACGCCGCGUGAGCGAAGAAGUAUUUCGGUAUGUAAAGCUCUGUCAGCAGGGAAGAUAAUGACGGUACCUGACCAAGAAGCCCCGGCUAACUACGUG
RNAcentral lists this ribosomal RNA (468 nucleotides) under uncultured bacterium. RNAcentral's name for it is "bacterial SSU rRNA". It matches the Rfam family "Bacterial small subunit ribosomal RNA", at positions 29 to 507 of the family's 1533-position model. The record is from RNAcentral.